UACGGAGGGGGCUAGCGUUGUUCGGAAUUACUGGGCGUAAAGCGCACGUAGGCGGACUCUUAAGUCGGUGGUGAAAUCCUGGAGCUCAACUCCAGAACUGCCUUCGAUACUGGCGAUCUCGAGUUCGGGAGAGGUGAGUGGAACUGCGAGUGUAGAGGUGAAAUUCGUAGAUAUUCGCAAGAACACCAGCGGCGAAGGCGGCUCACUGGCCCGAUACUGACGCUGAGGUGCGAAAGCGUGGGGAGCAAACAGG
This 253-nucleotide ribosomal RNA is filed under the name uncultured bacterium. RNAcentral's name for it is "partial 16S ribosomal RNA". It matches the Rfam family "Bacterial small subunit ribosomal RNA", at positions 524 to 776 of the family's 1533-position model. The record is from RNAcentral.